AGAACGAACGCUGGCGGCGCGCCUAAUACAUGCAAGUCGAGCGAGAAGACGUAGCAAUACGUUUGUAAAGCGGCGAACGGGUGAGGAAUACAUGGGUAACCUACCCUCGAGUGGGGAAUAACUAGCCGAAAGGUUAGCUAAUACCGCGUACGCUCCUUGGACUUCGGUUCAGGGAGGAAAGCGAUACCGUGGGUAUCGCGCUCUUGGAUGGGCUCAUGUCCUAUCAGCUUGUUGGUGAGGUAACGGCUCACCAAGGCUUCGACGGGUAGCUGGUCUGAGAGGACGAUCAGCCACACUGGCACUGCGACACGGGCCAGACUCCUACGGGAGCAGCAGUGAGGAAUCUGCGCAAUGGGCGAAAGCCUGACGCAGCGACGCCGCGUGGGGAUGAAGGUCUUCGGAUUGUAAACCCCGUUUCGGUGGAAGACGGCCUAGACAACGUAGGCGGACGUACCACCAGAAGCAGCCGACGGCUAACGUUCGUGCCAGCCAGCCG
RNAcentral lists this ribosomal RNA (496 nucleotides) under uncultured soil bacterium. RNAcentral's name for it is "bacterial SSU rRNA". It matches the Rfam family "Bacterial small subunit ribosomal RNA", at positions 26 to 517 of the family's 1533-position model. The record is from RNAcentral.